UUCGCCCUUGAAACUGCGAAUGGGCUCAUUAAAACAGUUAUAGUUUAUUUGAUGAUUGAGUCUACAUGGAUAACCGUGGUAAUUCUAGAGCUAAUACAUGCAUUCAGGCCUGGCUCCAAGAAGGGCUGUAUUUAUUAGAUAUUAAGCCAAUAUUCCGCAAGGUCUAUUGUGGUGAAUCAUAGUAACUGAUCGGAUCCCGAAUUCGGGAUAGAUCAUUCAAGUUUCUGCCCUAUCAGCUUUCGAUGGUAGUGUAUUGGACUACCAUGGCAGUAACGGGUAACGGAGAAUUAGGGUUCGGUUCCGGAGAGGGAGCCUGAGAAACGGCUACCACAUCUAAGGAAGGCAGCAGGCGCGUAAAUUACCCAAUGCAGACUCUGCGAGGUAGUGACAAUACAUAACAACCUGGGGUCUCACGACUUACGGGAUUGCAAUGAGAACAAUUUAAAAACCUUAACGAGGAACGAGUGGAGGGCAAGUCUGGUGCCAGCAGCCGCGGUAAUUCCAGCUCCACUAGCGUAUAUUAAAGUUGUUGCAGUUAAAAAGCUCGUAGUUGAACUUCUGGUUGCGCGCAGUUUUGGCUGGUCUCCUGAUCGCCCUGAGCGCAGCCAUCCGUCUGCAAACUUUUACAUCCUUAACUGGUUUGUCUAAGGGAGCAGGCAUUUUACUUUGAAAAAAUUAGAGUGUUUAAGGCAGGCUCUCGCCGCUGAAUACAUUAGCAUGGAAUAAUGGAAUAGGACGCCUUGUCCAUUUGAUUGGUUAUUGGACUUGCGUAAUGAUUAAUAGGGACAGUUGGGGGCAUUAGUAUUUAAUUGUCAGAGGUGAAAUUCUUGGAUUUAUUAAAGACUAACUUAUGCGAAAGCAUUUGCCAAGGAUGUUUUCAUUAAUCAAGAACGAAAGUUAGGGGAUCAAAGACGAUCAGAUACCGUCCUAGUCUUAACUAUAAACUAUACCGACUCGGUUUCGGUGGGGUGUUUAUAACUCUAUCGGCGCCGUAUGAGAAAUCAAAGUCUUUGGGUUCUGGGGGGGAGUAUGGUCGCAAGGCUGAAC
RNAcentral lists this ribosomal RNA (1047 nucleotides) under uncultured ciliate. RNAcentral describes it as "SSU rRNA". It matches the Rfam family "Eukaryotic small subunit ribosomal RNA", at positions 74 to 1142 of the family's 1831-position model. Lineage: Eukaryota; Ciliophora. The record is from RNAcentral.